CGAACUAUAAAGAUAUUUACUUCAAUCAGCACCACCUAGACGAAUAUACAGAAAGAAAACAGAAAACAGAGAUACUCUUAUGAGUUGGAUAAGGAGUAAAAAAGGUAAAAAACACCUCUAAACCAAUUCCGUGUUGAUCUUUCACUAUCUUACGUAAUUGAGAACAAAUUUCAUAAUAUGUUUUU
Molecule: long non-coding RNA, 185 nt
Organism: Melitaea cinxia (Glanville fritillary)
Lineage: Eukaryota; Metazoa; Arthropoda; Insecta; Lepidoptera; Nymphalidae
Exons: 2
Source: RefSeq, a predicted model, not a curated record